AGUGAACGCUGGCGGUAGGCCUAACACAUGCAAGUCGAACGGCAGCACAGUAAGAGCUUGCUCUUACGGGUGGCGAGUGGCGGACGGGUGAGGAAUAUAUCGGAAUCUACUUUUUCGUGGGGGAUAACGUAGGGAAACUUACGCUAAUACAGCAUACGACCUACGGGGGAAAGCAGGGGAUCUUCGGACCUUGCGCGAUUGAAUGAGCCGAUGUCGGAUUAGCUAGUUGGCGGGGUAAAGGCCCACCAAGGCGACGAUCCGUAGCUGGUCUGAGAGGAUGAUCAGCCACACUGGAACUGAGACACGGUCCAGACUCCUACGGGAGGCAGCAGUGGGGAAUAUUGGACAAUGGGCGCAAGCCUGAUCCAGCCAUACCGCGUGGGUGAAGAAGGCCUUCGGGUUGUAAAGCCCUUUUGUUGGGAAAGAAAAGCAGCAGGUUAAUACCCCGCUGUUCUGACGGUACCCAAAGAAUAAGCACCGGCUAACUUCGUG
RNAcentral lists this ribosomal RNA (492 nucleotides) under uncultured bacterium. Its description in RNAcentral is "partial 16S ribosomal RNA". It matches the Rfam family "Bacterial small subunit ribosomal RNA", at positions 29 to 507 of the family's 1533-position model. The record is from RNAcentral.